This 503-nucleotide ribosomal RNA is filed under the name Salmonella enterica subsp. enterica serovar Enteritidis. RNAcentral's name for it is "partial 23S ribosomal RNA". It matches the Rfam family "Bacterial large subunit ribosomal RNA", at positions 161 to 703 of the family's 2925-position model. The record is from RNAcentral. Lineage: Bacteria; Pseudomonadati; Pseudomonadota; Gammaproteobacteria; Enterobacterales; Enterobacteriaceae.
AAUCCAUAGGUUAAUGAGGCGAACCGGGGGAACUGAAACAUCUAAGUACCCCGAGGAAAAGAAAUCAACCGAGAUUCCCCCAGUAGCGGCGAGCGAACGGGGAGGAGCCCAGAGCCUGAAUCAGCAUGUGUGUUAGUGGAAGCGUCUGGAAAGGCGCGCGAUACAGGGUGACAGCCCCGUACACAAAAGCGCAUGUGCUGUGAGCUCGAUGAGUAGGGCGGGACACGUGGUAUCCUGUCUGAAUAUGGGGGGACCAUCCUCCAAGGCUAAAUACUCCUGACUGACCGAUAGUGAACCAGUACCGUGAGGGAAAGGCGAAAAGAACCCCGGCGAGGGGAGUGAAAAAGAACCUGAAACCGUGUACGUACAAGCAGUGGGAGCACAGGUUUACCUGUGUGACUGCGUACCUUUUGUAUAAUGGGUCAGCGACUUAUAUUCUGUAGCAAGGUUAACCGAAUAGGGGAGCCGGAGGGAAACCGAGUCUUAAUUGGGCGUUAAGUUGC